CGAAGGGGGCUAGCGUUGCUCGGAAUUACUGGGCGUAAAGGGCGCGUAGGCGGACAGUUUAGUCAGAGGUGAAAGCCCAGGGCUCAACCUUGGAAUUGCCUUUGAUACUGACUGUCUUGAGUUCGGGAGAGGUGAGUGGAAUGCCGAGUGUAGAGGUGAAAUUCGUAGAUAUUCGGCGGAACACCAGUGGCGAAGGCGACUCACUGGCCCGAUACUGACGCUGAGGCGCGAAAGCGUGGGGAGCAAACAGGAUUAGAUACCCUGGUAGUCCACGCUGUAAACGACGAGUGCUAGUUGUCGGCAUGCAUGCAUGUCGGUGGCGCAGCUAACGCAUUAAGCACUCCGCCUGGGGAGUACGGUCGCAAGAUUA
RNAcentral lists this ribosomal RNA (370 nucleotides) under uncultured organism. RNAcentral describes it as "bacterial SSU rRNA". It matches the Rfam family "Bacterial small subunit ribosomal RNA", at positions 526 to 896 of the family's 1533-position model. The record is from RNAcentral.